GGCCAUACCAAAAAGCCAUACGGAGUAUCCCACUCCUCCCCUUCCUCAAAAGCCCCGAAAACUAAUAUAAAUAAAUCAAUAUCCUCCCUAUAGGUAAAAGAUAAAAGAAAAAAUAGCAAGAGGGAUAGAAAAAAAAAAGGUCAGUUGCAAAAAUUAUUUCGCGAGAUCAGGGCGGCUCCGCCCCCUUGCCGCAGAUUCGCGGCGAGAGGGGAAGGCGGAGGUUUCCGAGCCGGCGGAGCCCAUUCUCCGGUAGACGCAAGGCACGAUCUUGCGGCUGCCCCCCGUCGAAUUCUUGCCGGGCUAUAUCUGAGGAUUGAAGGUCGCGCGAGGCUAGGCAUUUCCACCGCGUUUCUUGUGCAGAUUUCGUCGAUUUCUUGGCGCUGCUGCCGAGAAUCCGGUGUUGAACAGCUUGCGGUGGACGAAAGGCAAAGAGGCGAUGGACUACUACAACAUCCUCAAGGUGAACCGGAAUGCCUCAUUGGAGGACCUCAAGAAGUCGUACCGGCGGCUCGCUAGGACCUGGCACCCUGACAAGAACCCGACUGGUGGCGCUGAGGCUGAGGCCAGGUUCAAGCAGAUAACUGAGGCCUACGAGGUACUAAGUGAUCCAGAAAAGCGUGCAAUUUAUGACCAAUACGGUGAAGAAGGUUUAAAGGGUAUGCCUCCACCUGGUUCGCAAAGCCGGACCGCCACAGCUUCUGGCUCAAGUGGUCCAAGUAAUUUCCGUUACAAUCCUAGUGAUCCAGAUGAUAUCUUUAAUGAGUUCAUGGCGAGCAACAAGCCAUACACCUUUGGUCAAGACCGAAGGCGCUUUCAACCACCACACCGGACCUCAGCAGUGAAUGGUCGAAGUGAAGCUUCUUCCAGUUCACAGAAGGAGCCUGGUACCAGUACAAGCCAUCUGGAAAAGCCACCGCCUGUGGAGAAGACAUUACUUUGCACUCUCGAAGAGCUGUAUAAUGGAACAAAAAGGAAGAUGAAGAUCACUAGGAAUGUCGCAAAAUCAGAUGGAAAGGUAGAAGUUGAGACAGAGAUCUUGCAGGUCGAGGUGUUGCCAGGCUGGAAAAAGGGAACAAAGAUGACAUUUCCCAACAAAGGCGACACGCUGCCCGGCUAUUUACCGCAGGACCUGACCUUUGUCAUCGACAUGAAGCCCCAUGACACCUACACUCUCGAAGGGAACAACCUCCUGGUAAGCCAGGAGAUCCCCCUGGUGGACGCUCUUGCCGGGACGACCAUAAACCUCAGGACCCUUGAUGGCAGGAGCCUUCCCGUCAGGGUGGAGGAAGUGGUGCGCCCUGGCCAGGAGAUUGUGAUUGAGAAUGAAGGGUGGCCGAUCCGAAAGGAGCCAGGGAAGAAGGGGAGCCUGAGGAUCAGGUUCGACGUGGCCUUCCCGGCGAGGCUAUCCUCGUCGCAGCGAGCUGCCAUCAGGCGGAUCAUGGGGAGCUAACCAGGGAAAAGAAGGGGGCGACAGUGGAUCGAUUCAUACAGAAACAAGAAGAGAAAGAAAAAAAAACUAGCUAGCCUGAGGACAGUUGGGAUUGGUUUGGGUUAGUUCAUGUUCAUCUGUUGUUCAUAGAUCAGUUAGCGGUGCAGCACUAAUUCCGUGUGUUUAGCCCUGUUCUUCGCAAGUGACGUUGUUUUCUUUUCGGUGACUUCUGUUGGCCAUUAGCAGUUGGAUGCUUUUAGUUCUGAUCAUAUCAAACGGAUGUUUAUCCCCCUCGACUUUUGUUGAUAAUUAGCGCUUUUCUUAAGAUGGAUCAUCAUGCCAUGGCU
Molecule: ribosomal RNA, 1776 nt
Filed under: Triticum aestivum (bread wheat)
Lineage: Eukaryota; Viridiplantae; Streptophyta; Magnoliopsida; Poales; Poaceae
Description: partial small subunit ribosomal RNA
Source: RNAcentral